Molecule: ribosomal RNA, 485 nt
Filed under: uncultured bacterium
Lineage: Bacteria
Description: bacterial SSU rRNA
Rfam family: Bacterial small subunit ribosomal RNA
Source: RNAcentral
GAUGAACGCUAGCGGGAGGCUUAACACAUGCAAGUCGAGGGGCAGCAUAAGGUAGCAAUACUUUGAUGGCGACCGGCGCACGGGUGAGUAACGCGUAUGUAACCUGUCCUUAACAGGAGGAUAACCCGGAGAAAUUCGGACUAAUACUGCAUAAAAUUAUAAAUAGGCAUCUAUUAAUAAUUAAAGCUACGGCGGUUAGGGAGGGGCAUGCGUAACAUUAGCUGGUUGGUAGGGUAACGGCCUACCAAGGCAAUGAUGUUUAGGGGACCUGAGAGGGUGACCCCCCAACUGGUACUGAGACACGGACCAGACUCCUACGGGAGGCAGCAGUGAGGAAUAUUGGUCAAUGGGCGGCAGCCUGAACCAGCCAUCCCGCGUGAAGGAAGAAUGCGCUAUGCGUUGUAAACUUCUUUUUCAGGGGGAUAAAAUUCUGUAUGUAUACAGGACUGAAGGUACCCUGAGAAUAAGCAUCGGCUAACUCCGUG